RNAcentral lists this ribosomal RNA (118 nucleotides) under Rubrivivax gelatinosus. The record is from RNAcentral. RNAcentral also lists the same sequence under 1 other name. Lineage: Bacteria; Pseudomonadati; Pseudomonadota; Betaproteobacteria; Burkholderiales; Sphaerotilaceae.
AGCCUGAUGACCAUAGCGAGGUGGUCCCACUCCUUCCCAUCCCGAACAGGAAAGUGAAACGCCUUUGCGCCGAUGAUAGUGCGGGUUCCCGUGUGAAAGUAGGACAUCGUCAGGCUAU